AUUUGGGGAUGGAUGAUGGGAAUGGAUGGAUGUGGGGAUGGAUAUGGAUGAUGGGAGUGGAUGGAUAUGGAUGAUGGGAGUGGAUGGAUAUGGAUGAUGGGAGUGGAUGGAUUUGGGGAUGGAUGAUGGGAGUGGGUGGAUUUGGGGAUGGAUAUGGAUGAUGUGAGUGGAUGGAUGAUGGGAGUGGAUGGAUUUGGAUGAUGGGAGUGGAUGGGGGAUAUGGAUGAUGGGAGUGGAUGGGGGAUAUGGAGGAUGGGAGUGGAUUGAUUUGGGGAUGGAUAUGGAUGAUGGGAGUGGAUGGAUGAUGGGAGUGGAUGGAUGAUGGGAGUGGAUGGAUGAUAUGAGAGUGGAUGGAUUUGGGGAUGGAUAUGGAUGAUGGGAGUGGAUGGAUAUUGAUGGGAGUAGAUGGAUUUGGGGAUGGAUGAUGGGAAUGGAUGGAUGUGGGGAUGGAUAUGGAUGAUGGGAGUGGAUGGAUGAUAUGGAUGAUGGGAGUGGAUGGAUAUGGAUGAUGGGAGUGGGUGGAUUUGGGGAUGGAUAUGGAUGAUGUGAGUGGAUGGAUGAUGGGAGUGGAUGGAUUUGGAUGAUGGGAGUGGGUGGGGGAUGUGGAUGAUGGGAGUGGAUUGAU
Non-coding RNA from Pelobates cultripes (western spadefoot toad), 625 nucleotides. NCBI's taxonomy places the organism in Eukaryota, Metazoa, Chordata, Amphibia, Anura, Pelobatidae. The record is from the annotation of a GenBank genome assembly.